AAAGUCUUUUCUCCCAUGAAAGCA
RNAcentral lists this non-coding RNA (24 nucleotides) under Arabidopsis thaliana (thale cress). Lineage: Eukaryota; Viridiplantae; Streptophyta; Magnoliopsida; Brassicales; Brassicaceae. The record is from RNAcentral.